UUAGAGGAAUGGGCAUCGAACCCAUAUUUAAGAAAUCAAAAUCCUUCGUAAUUCCAUUUUACUACCCCCU
This 70-nucleotide transfer RNA is filed under the name Pristimantis totoroi. RNAcentral describes it as "tRNA-Gln". The record is from RNAcentral. Lineage: Eukaryota; Metazoa; Chordata; Amphibia; Anura; Strabomantidae.